GACACAAAAUUUUCUGGUAUCAUUUAUUGAAUAUGUGAUAAAGAUUUAUGUGUAAUUUUCAGUUGUUUUUAAACACUUCAUAUGAAUGAAACAGGCGUUCUACUCAGUAAAUUUUGGGUCCAACAGGCAUAAAGAGUUGGGUAAAUUCCUGUGUUCUGGUUGAAGAUACUUCAUCAUGAGAAGACACUUGAUUUCAUUGGGACCUCCAAGCCUCAAAAGCCUUACACAUUUCCUAAAAGGGGCAUGACUAAUGGUGUUUUAUCCCAUUCAUCACUGGAAGUAAUCCCUUUAACAAGAAACUCUUCCUGAGACCUUGAAGAUCAGAUGUGAUUCAGUAAGGUAGAGAGGCAGGUGUGGAGAGAAUCAAACAGCCCAUCUUGAUAUCAUGCAAAGACUCUGGAAAUACAAUUCCAGUGAGUCCUGGCUAUAACACUUUUGAUGCCCACAUCACUAGCAGCAGUCCUACAAUCACCAACGGUAAG
This 482-nucleotide long non-coding RNA is filed under the name Zonotrichia albicollis (white-throated sparrow). Its description in RNAcentral is "lncRNA (ENSZALG00000013588.1)". The record is from RNAcentral. Lineage: Eukaryota; Metazoa; Chordata; Aves; Passeriformes; Passerellidae.